This is a long non-coding RNA of Numida meleagris (helmeted guineafowl), 433 nucleotides long. RefSeq lists it as uncharacterized. The transcript is spliced from 4 exons. Lineage: Eukaryota; Metazoa; Chordata; Aves; Galliformes; Numididae. The record is from RefSeq and is a predicted model, not a curated record.
GUCGAGGGAGCUGCAUCUUUUUUUGAUGGUGAUUGUGCUAUGAGCUGUCACUGGUUGUUGGGAAAAAAGACCUUUGCAUCCCUGUUCCCUCGUGAGAGUUCCCGGUGUUAGAGCCCAAACUCUCCCACCCAGUGUCGCCGCUCCCUGAGCAGACCGGUAACCCUGCGUGGUGACAGCAGCGGUUUGUGCAGGCAGGCUUGGUGCCGGCCAUCAAGGCCUGACCCUGUGCCAGGAACGCGUCAAAGGGCAAGCUUUUGGUUGCUGUAUGGGGGAAAGAGUUAGUCAAAAACCUUUGGCUCCAACUGAACCAAUGCAUUGAGCUUAGACUCACUUACUUAAGAGAAUUACAAAGGAAACGCCGGUGCUGAGCAUACUGAUCAGCGGCAUGCAGAUUUCCCCCCCCUCUCCCCUUGCCCGCCCCACCCAGGGGGGA